This 405-nucleotide ribosomal RNA is filed under the name uncultured bacterium. RNAcentral describes it as "partial 16S ribosomal RNA". It matches the Rfam family "Bacterial small subunit ribosomal RNA", at positions 28 to 526 of the family's 1533-position model. The record is from RNAcentral.
GACGAACGCUGGCGGCGUGCUUAACACAUGCAAGUCGAGCGGUGCGGCGAACGGGUGAGUAACGCGUGAGUAAUUGCCCCCCUCCCUGGGAUAACAGUUGGAAACGGCUGCUAAUACCGGAUAGUGGGGUAUGAUUCGCGUCCUAUCAGCUUGUUGGUGGGGUAGUGGCCUACCAAGGCGACGACGGGUAGCCGGCCUGAGAGGGCGACCGGCCACAUUGGGCUGGGGUACAGCCCAAACUCCUACGGGAGGCAGGAGUGAGGAAUAGUGCGCGAUGGGGGAAACCAUGAUGCAGCAACGCCGCGUGCGAGAUGACGGCCUUCGGGUUGUAAACCGCUUUCAGCCAUGACGCGGUAGUGGCAGAAGAAGCACCGGCUAACUACGUGCCAGCAGCCGCGGUAAUUC